This 88-nucleotide unclassified non-coding RNA is filed under the name Pseudomonas extremaustralis. Lineage: Bacteria; Pseudomonadati; Pseudomonadota; Gammaproteobacteria; Pseudomonadales; Pseudomonadaceae. The record is from RNAcentral.
GUGGGAGGGGGCUUGCUCCCGAUGGCAAAGUGUCAGUCACCAUCAUUGUUGACUGAUUCAGCGCCAUCGGGAGCAAGCCCCCUUCCAC